UCCCUCAUAGCUCAGUUAGUAAAGAAUCUGCCUGCAAUGCAGGAGACCCAGGUUCCAUCCCUGGGUUGGGAA
RNAcentral lists this transfer RNA (72 nucleotides) under Bos taurus (domestic cattle). It matches the Rfam family "tRNA". Rfam says of the family: Transfer RNA (tRNA) molecules are approximately 80 nucleotides in length. Their secondary structure includes four short double-helical elements and three loops (D, anti-codon, and T loops). RNAcentral also lists the same sequence under 5 other names. The record is from Rfam by way of RNAcentral. Lineage: Eukaryota; Metazoa; Chordata; Mammalia; Artiodactyla; Bovidae.